UACGAGGGGUGCAAGCGUUGCUCGGAAUUAUUGGGCGUAAAGCGCACGUAGGCGGUUUGUUAAGUCGGAUGUGAAAUCCCUCGGCUCAACUGAGGAAGUGCAUCCGAAACUGGCAGGCUUGAGUACUAAAGAGGGUCGCGGAAUUCCCGGUGUAGAGGUGAAAUUCGUAGAUAUCGGGAGGAACACCGGUGGCGAAGGCGGCGACCUGGGUAGAUACUGACGCUGAGGUGCGAAAGCGUGGGGAGCAAACAGG
RNAcentral lists this ribosomal RNA (253 nucleotides) under uncultured bacterium. Its description in RNAcentral is "partial 16S ribosomal RNA". It matches the Rfam family "Bacterial small subunit ribosomal RNA", at positions 524 to 776 of the family's 1533-position model. The record is from RNAcentral.